This 277-nucleotide unclassified non-coding RNA is filed under the name plant metagenome. RNAcentral's name for it is "partial contains small subunit ribosomal RNA and internal transcribed spacer 1". The stretch from base 1 to 53 matches the Rfam family "Eukaryotic small subunit ribosomal RNA", at positions 1778 to 1831 of the family's 1831-position model. The record is from RNAcentral.
GGAAGUAAAAGUCGUACAAGGUUUCCGUAGGUGAACCUGCGGAAGGAUCAUUAUCGAAAUACUUAUUUAGCGUUCCGUGCUAUCCCAUUGUUUUAUUUACCCUGUUGCUUCCACUGGAUGAGUUUCCAUACCUUGUGUUUGAGAAACUUUGGCUUGUGUAAGAUUCAUUCACGGCCAGCCAGUGAGAAGACCAUUUACAAAACCCUGUUAAGAACCAAUUGUCUGAAUAUUUUACUCCAAUGAAAUAAAACUUUCAACAACGGAUCUCUAGGCUCUU